This 497-nucleotide ribosomal RNA is filed under the name uncultured bacterium. Its description in RNAcentral is "partial 16S ribosomal RNA". It matches the Rfam family "Bacterial small subunit ribosomal RNA", at positions 28 to 507 of the family's 1533-position model. The record is from RNAcentral.
GAUGAACGCUGGCGGCGUGCUUAAUACAUGCAAGUCGAGCGAAAGGACGAGAAGUUUGCUUCUCAGAUGUUAGCGGAGGACGGGUGAGUAACACGUGGAUACCCUCCCUCUAAGACUGGGAUAACUUCGGGAAACCGGAGCUAAUACCGGAUAAUAUUUUGAACCGCAUGGUUCAAAAGUGAAAGACGGUCUUGCUGUCACUUAUCGAUGGAUCCGCGCUGCAUUAGCUAGUUGGUAAGGUAACGGCUUACCAAGGGAACGAUGCAUAGCCGACCUUAGACGGGUAGCGGCCACACGAGAACGUAGGGACGGAUCAGACUUCUACGAGAGGCCACAGUAGUGAAUGAUGCGGAAGUGGCGAAAACCUGACGGUGCGACGCCGCGUGAUGGAGCGAGGUCGUCUGGGCGUAAAACUCUUUUAUGUGGGAAGCACAUAUGUGUAAGUAACUGUCCACAUCUUGACGGUACCUGAACAAAAAGCCACGGCUAACUACGUG